GAGACUACAAUAACACACAAGAGGGAAAUGCAAACUGAGACAAGUAAUCACAGUGUUCAGCCUUCUCUUUUGGGCGAACGUGCUGCUUCUGCACAAUCAACUGCAAUAAUCCGGAAGGAUCCGAAUGAUUCGUUUGGCAUAAACAAGCUUAAUAUUGAUGAUUCUAUUCCUGCAGUUGCUGGGAAGCCUUCAUCCAGUUUGCAGUUGUCACCGGGGUUGUCUUCAUCAAUGAAGUCUACUCAUCCCCAGGCAUCGAGAGGCCAAGGAAGAGGAUUUAA
Molecule: unclassified non-coding RNA, 278 nt
Filed under: Hevea brasiliensis (rubber tree)
Lineage: Eukaryota; Viridiplantae; Streptophyta; Magnoliopsida; Malpighiales; Euphorbiaceae
Source: RNAcentral